Molecule: ribosomal RNA, 509 nt
Filed under: uncultured bacterium
Lineage: Bacteria
Description: bacterial SSU rRNA
Rfam family: Bacterial small subunit ribosomal RNA
Source: RNAcentral
UAGUCCACGCCGUAAACGAUGACAACUAGCCGUCGGGUCCCUUGAGGACUUGGUGGCGAAGCUAACGCGAUAAGUUGUCCGCCUGGGGAGUACGGCCGCAAGGUUAAAACUCAAAUGAAUUGACGGGGGCCCGCACAAGCGGUGGAGCAUGUUGUUUAAUUCGAUGCAACGCGAAGAACCUUACCACCCCUUGACAUCCUGCGAAUUUUCUAGAGAUAGAUUAGUGCCUUCGGGAACGCAGUGACAGGUGCUGCAUGGCUGUCGUCAGCUCGUGUCGUGAGAUGUUGGGUUAAGUCCCGUAACGAGCGCAACCCUUGUCCUUAUUUGCCAGCACAUUAUGGUGGGAACUCUAAGGAGACUGCCGGUGACAAACCGCGAGGAAGGUGGGGAUGACGUCAAAUCAUCACGGCCCUUACGUCCUGGGCCACACACGUGCUACAAUGGUAGGGACAGAGAGCAGCCACAACGCGAGUUGGAGCGAAUCUAUAAACCCUAUCACAGUUCGGAUC